Molecule: ribosomal RNA, 331 nt
Filed under: uncultured Chloroflexota bacterium
Lineage: Bacteria; Bacillati; Chloroflexota
Description: bacterial SSU rRNA
Rfam family: Bacterial small subunit ribosomal RNA
Source: RNAcentral
GACGAACGCUGGCGGCGUGCCUAAUACAUGCAAGUCGAGCGGAGUUUCAGAGAAGCUUGCUUCUCUGAAACUUAGCGGCGGACGGGUGAGUAACACGUAGGCAACCUGCCCCGAAGAGGGGGAUAACAGUCCGAAAGGAUUGCUAAUACCCCAUGUGGUUAUCGGGAUCAGAAUCUGAUAACUAAAGUCGUAAGACACUUUGGGAGGGACCUGCGUCCCAUCAGCUAGUUGGUAAGGUAACGGCCUACCAAGGCUAUGACGGGUAGGGGACCUGAGAGGGUGGACCCCCACAAUGGCACUGAAACACGGGCCAUACACCUACGGGUGGCAG